RNAcentral lists this ribosomal RNA (230 nucleotides) under uncultured Streptococcaceae bacterium. Its description in RNAcentral is "partial 16S ribosomal RNA". It matches the Rfam family "Bacterial small subunit ribosomal RNA", at positions 109 to 334 of the family's 1533-position model. The record is from RNAcentral. Lineage: Bacteria; Bacillati; Bacillota; Bacilli; Lactobacillales; Streptococcaceae.
AGUAACGCGUAGGUAACCUGCCUGGUAGCGGGGGGUAACUAUUGGAAACGAUAGCUAAUACCGCAUAAGAGUAGAUGUUGCAUGACAUUUGCUUAAAAGGUGCAAUUGCACCACUACCAGAUGGACCUGCGUUGUAUUAGCUAGUUGGUGGGGUAACGGCUCACCAAGGCGACGAUACAUAGCCGACCUGAGAGGGUGAUCGGCCACACUGGGACUGAGACACGGCCCAG